Molecule: ribosomal RNA, 253 nt
Filed under: uncultured bacterium
Lineage: Bacteria
Description: partial 16S ribosomal RNA
Rfam family: Bacterial small subunit ribosomal RNA
Source: RNAcentral
UACGGAGGGGGCUAGCGUUGUUCGGAAUUACUGGGCGUAAAGCGCGUGUAGGUGGCGAGGCAAGUCGGGUGUGAAAGCCCUGGGCUCAACCCAGGAAGUGCACUCGAUACUGCCUAGCUAGAAUCCCGGAGAGGUUGGUGGAACUCUCGGUGUAGAGGUGAAAUUCGUAGAUAUCGAGAAGAACACCGGUGGCGAAGGCGGCCAACUGGACGGUGACUGACACUGAGACGCGAAAGCGUGGGGAGCAAACAGG